CACUUUCUCGCCGGCGUGGCGCGACCCAAACACAACGACAACAAAGUGUGUUGCGUGGAGCUUUCAGGUAUUUCGGUGCAACCGUAGCCUACAGUGUGCCUACGCUAGAGCAAGGGUCUACUUUAUUAGAUCAUUGUAAUUACCUUACUACCGGUGGGUAGCGCAGCGGGUGGAAUGGUAUUGUUUUGCUUCCUAUCAUUAUUAAAGCCUACUACGUGAAACUAAGCGAAAACAAGCCAGUAGCGGGAAUGGACCUGCCGGUUCGGUUAUCACUCGUAGUUCAUCUAGAUCUGCGUUUUCCCUUCCUUCUCGCCGCUUGCACAACCCGGGAUACGCAUUUGCGAUCUUAAUGCGGCUUUAUCAGGCCUGGUGAUUAAUUUUCGCUUGAAUAGAAAUAUUAUUACCGGCAGCUGGGGCGUAAUGAUACGCAGUCAACCAAUAAAAAUUCUAGAGUUAGCACGCACCCCAGCAUCGCCUACGGGCAUGAACUUUUGCGUGACAUGACAUCGUAUGGAAAUGAUCUGCAUCGCCCAACCAGUUAACAGAUUUGGUGGUCUACCUGUUCUACUUGGCGAAGCCCGAUGGAAGGAUGCAAUGGUAGUCAAGGGGCUUAAAAUCGGAUCUGAGCACGUGAUUCAUCAGCGGAACAGCGCUUUCUGGUUACGCGUGUUCAGUUGCGUGUUUAUUAUUGCUGUUCUAUUAUAGGGAAUCUGAUGUUAAUUGGAAUUAUACAAAAACUGAUCACGAUCGGGAACUAUGAAGUAAUGAUCAGAAAAACCCUAGAUUACACGAUUUAGCAUAAUAUGAUUAUUCUAUAGCGAUAUUGGUUUUUAUACAAAUAAAAAAUCUUGUGAAGUUA
This is a long non-coding RNA of Topomyia yanbarensis, 859 nucleotides long. RefSeq lists it as uncharacterized. The record is from RefSeq and is a predicted model, not a curated record. The transcript has 2 exons. NCBI's taxonomy places the organism in Eukaryota, Metazoa, Arthropoda, Insecta, Diptera, Culicidae.